RNAcentral lists this ribosomal RNA (459 nucleotides) under uncultured bacterium. Its description in RNAcentral is "partial 16S ribosomal RNA". It matches the Rfam family "Bacterial small subunit ribosomal RNA", at positions 338 to 795 of the family's 1533-position model. The record is from RNAcentral.
CCUACGGGAGGCAGCAGUGAGGAAUAUUGGUCAAUGGGCGGGAGCCUGAACCAGCCAAGCCGCGUGAAGGAAGAAGGCGCCAGGCGUCGUAAACUUCUUUUGUCGGGGAACAAAGGGCGCCACGCGUGGCGUUGUGAGUGUACCCGAAGAAAAAGCAUCGGCUAACUCCGUGCCAGCAGCCGCGGUAAUACGGAGGAUGCGAGCGUUAUCCGGAUUUAUUGGGUUUAAAGGGUGCGUAGGCGGGCCUUCAGGCCGGCGGUAAAAUUGCGGGGCUCAACCCCGCCGAGCCGUCGGAACCGGGGGCCUUGAGUACCGGAGAAGUACGCGGAAUGCGUGGUGUAGCGGUGAAAUGCAUAGAUAUCACGCAGAACCCCGAUUGCGAAGGCAGCGUACCGGCCGGUCACUGACGCUGAGGCACGAAAGCGCGGGUAUCGAACAGGAUUAGAUACCCUUGUAGUC